UACGGAGGGUGCAAGCGUUAUCCGGAUUUACUGGGUUUGAAGGGUGUGUAGGCGGGCUUUUAAGUCAGCGGUGAAAUCUCCGGGCUCAACCCGGAAACUGCCAUUGAUACUAUUAGUCUUGAAUUCUGUUGAGGUAGGCGGAAUAAGUCAUGUAGCGGUGAAAUGCAUAGAUAUGACUUAGAACACCAAUUGCGAAGGCAGCUUGCUAAACAGAUAUUGACGCUGAGGCACGAAAGCGUGGGGAUCAAACAGG
This 253-nucleotide ribosomal RNA is filed under the name uncultured bacterium. RNAcentral describes it as "partial 16S ribosomal RNA". It matches the Rfam family "Bacterial small subunit ribosomal RNA", at positions 524 to 776 of the family's 1533-position model. The record is from RNAcentral.